GACGAACCGUGCGAACGUUGUUCGGAAUCACUGGGCUUAAAGGGCGCGUAGGUGGUCCGCCAAGUCGGGGUUGAAAUCUUUCGGCCCAACCGGAAAAGUGGCUUCGAUACUGGCGGGCUGGAGGGGGGGUAGGGGGCGGAUGGAACUUCCGGUGGAGCGGUGAAAUGUGUUGAUAUCGGAAGGAACGCCAAAAAGCGAAGGCAGCUCUCUGGGUCCCUACCGACGCUGGGGGUGCGAAAGCAUGGGGAGCGAACAGG
This 257-nucleotide ribosomal RNA is filed under the name uncultured bacterium. RNAcentral's name for it is "partial 16S ribosomal RNA". It matches the Rfam family "Bacterial small subunit ribosomal RNA", at positions 524 to 776 of the family's 1533-position model. The record is from RNAcentral.